This 490-nucleotide ribosomal RNA is filed under the name uncultured bacterium. RNAcentral describes it as "partial 16S ribosomal RNA". It matches the Rfam family "Bacterial small subunit ribosomal RNA", at positions 29 to 505 of the family's 1533-position model. The record is from RNAcentral.
AGUGAACGCUGGCGGUAGGCCUAACACAUGCAAGUCGAACGGCAGCACAGUAAGAGCUUGCUCUUACGGGUGGCGAGUGGCGGACGGGUGAGGAAUACAUCGGCAUCUACUUUUUCGUGGGGGAUAACGUAGGGAAACUUACGCUAAUACCGCAUACGACCUACGGGUGAAAGCAGGGGAUCUUCGGACCUUGCGCGAUUGAAUGAGCCGAUGUCGGAUUAGCUAGUGGGCGGGGUAAAGGCACACCAGGGCGACGGUCCGUAGCUGGUCUGAGAGGAUGAGCCGCCACACGGAAACUGAGACGCGGUCCAGACUCCUACGGGAGGCAGCAGUGGGGAAUAUUGGACAAGGGGCGAAAGCCUGAGCCAGCCACCCCGCGUGGGUGAAGAAGGCCUGGGGGUUGAAAAGCUCUUUUGUGGGGAAAAAAAAUCAGCAGGUUAAUACCCCGAUGUUCUGGCGGUACCAAAAGAAUAAGAACCGGCAAACUGCG